AGAACAGCAAGAAAUCAAUAGACAUACAUGGACAUUUCAGACACGGUCUCAGAGGACGUUCCAGAUUCAUCGUCAUCUCUGGUUGUGAUUCACUGGCGUGGCUUCAGUCACCCAACAAAACCGGGGCGUCCACUGUGUUCAUGUGUGUGCUUGCAGGAAUACAGACACAGCAAGAAGUGCUUACUUGCUAAGGAAGCAGAAGAAAAUCCAGUCAACCUGGACAACAAAUUGUACAUAAAGCUUUAUGAGGCACCUGAGGAGGCCAGAGUGCUGACUGUAAGAUAUAUCAAGGAGCUGGAUAAGUGCAGUGACUAAGAAACAUGCAAUAUUCUAAGAGUCACACUGAAGGCAUCGAGGGCUAUUUGACUAAGAAGGAGAGUGAUGGGGUGCUGUGCCAGAUGACCUGGCCUCCACAGUCACCGGACCUGAACCCAGUCGAGAUGGUUUAUGGGUGAGCUGGACCGCAGACCGAAGGCAAAAGGGCCAACAAGUGCUAAGCAUCUCUCGGGGAACUCCUUCAAGACUGUUGGAAGACCAUUUCAGGUGACUACCUCUUGAAGCUCAUCAAGAGAAUGCCAAGAGUGUGCAAAGCAGUAAUCAAAGCAAAAGGUGGCUACUUUGAAGAACCUAUAUGACAUAUUUUCAGUUAUUUCACACUUUUUUGUUAUGUAUAUAAUUCCAAACAUUUGGUCUGUACUGUAUAAUUUGUAGGGGUGAUUCUUGAUUACAAAAUCUGUUGGAAACCCCACAUUAAAGAUGUGAGACCAAAAGUAGCAUAGAAUAUCAGAGGAAUUGCAAAACCAAGGCAUGUAUUGAAUGAGAAAGCACUUUAUAUUCUGUACAGUUCACUUGUAUUGCCAUAUUUAAAUUAUUGUGUUGAAGUAUGGGGCAACACCUACUCUACAAAACCACCCUACAAAUACUAAGUACAUAAAAAAGAGCAAUUAGGACAGUAAAUAAAUAAGGAUAUUAUGAGCAUACUAAUUUAUUGUCUUUAAAAUCUCAUACUUUAAAAUGUUAUGAUCUGAUAGAAUUUAAACCUGCACAAACAGUUUAUACAGCAAAAAAUAAAAAGCUGCCUAGAAAUAUACAACAUUAUUCACAGACAGACAGGGGUGUUACAAUUUAAGAGGGGCUCAAAUUGACAGCAAAUUGACAGCAAAAUGCACAAAAAAAGCUCAAAAGGAUUUUUAUUUCGAAAUGUGGGAUGAUAUUGUGGAAUACAGUAAACGGAUAUAUCAAAGAAAGUGUUAAUAUGUUGCAAUUUAAAAGGUAUAAAGAUUUAUUUUUUUCAGAAGUAGGGGGUGAGAGUGAGAAUUUCAACAUUGUUGUUAAUGCUGCUUGAGUUGGUUUCUGUUUUUCUUCUUUAUCUUAAUAGACAGAUAAAUUAGGACUUAAUUUGGAGUAGUAUUUUUGUAUUAUUCAAAAUGGUACGUUUGAUUUAUUAUGGCUGAUUGUGAUUUGAUAUUGGUAACUACUGAGGGUAGGAUUUGUUUUUCAAAC
Molecule: long non-coding RNA, 1503 nt
Organism: Carassius gibelio (silver crucian carp)
Lineage: Eukaryota; Metazoa; Chordata; Actinopteri; Cypriniformes; Cyprinidae
Exons: 3
Source: RefSeq, a predicted model, not a curated record